This 113-nucleotide non-coding RNA is filed under the name human gut metagenome. RNAcentral describes it as "Glycine riboswitch". It matches the Rfam family "Glycine riboswitch aptamer", at positions 9 to 86 of the family's 94-position model. Rfam says of the family: This family represents the bacterial glycine riboswitch. Glycine riboswitches usually consist of two metabolite-binding aptamers domains with similar structures in tandem. The aptamers cooperatively bind glycine to regulate the expression of downstream genes. The record is from RNAcentral.
CCUCUGGAGAAUCCCGGGCAAGCCGGGUGCCGAAGGGGCAAGGGAUGCCGUGCCGACCGUCGCCGAAACGCCGGAGCGCGCAUCCUGAAACUCUCAGGCCAAAGGACAGAGCG